AGCAGCCGCGGUAAUUCCAGCUCCAAUAGCGUAUAUUAAAGUUGUUGCAGUUAAAAAGCUCGUAGUUGAAUUUCGGGGUUAGUAGGCUGGUCGUGCCACUGGUAUGUACUGGUCUUACUGAUUCCUCCUUCCUGAUGAGCUGUAAUGCCAUUAAUUUGGUGUUGCAGGGAAUCUGGACUGUUACUUUGAAAAAUUAGAGUGUUUAAAGCAGGCUAACGCUUGAAUACAUUAGCAUGGAAUAAUGAAAUAGGACGUUCGAUCCUAUUUUGUUGGUUUCUAGGAUUGACGUAAUGAUUAAUAGGGAUAGUUGGGGGCAUUAGUAUUCAAUUGUCAGAGGUGAAAUUCUUGGAUUUAUUGAAGACUAACUACUGCGAAAGCAUUUGCCAAGGAUGUUUUCAUUAAUCAAGAACGAAAGUUAGGGGAUCGAAGACGAUCAGAUACCGUCGUAGUCUUAACCAUAAACUAUGCCGACUAGGGAUCGGAUGAUGUUAAUUUUUAAUGACUCAUUC
Molecule: ribosomal RNA, 509 nt
Filed under: uncultured Glomus
Lineage: Eukaryota; Fungi; Glomeromycota; Glomeromycetes; Glomerales; Glomeraceae
Description: SSU rRNA
Rfam family: Eukaryotic small subunit ribosomal RNA
Source: RNAcentral